GCCAUGUUACAAGAGUAAAAUGGAAGGAAAACAGUCCAGCCGGGAAGAAAGAACAAAGUGUCGCCAUUCUUUUCCAUAUCCGAUGGGUUUAUCGAUCUUGGACAUAAUUUAAAGAAUUCAUCGCAAAGGCCCAAGAAUCCGAGAAAGCCCAACAAAGGUCAGGGAAUCGCCGCCAGUUGCCCAGUAUUGACCAUGACCCCCGAGGACCCCUACUACAACAGGCGCGUGAGGGGGACUGUGCUGCACCGCUACAGGAAUUCUGUGACUCUGGGAAUCCUCGCCCUGUCCGGCCUCAUUGGAUUCGCCUU
Long non-coding RNA from Penaeus indicus, 308 nucleotides. RefSeq lists it as uncharacterized. NCBI's taxonomy places the organism in Eukaryota, Metazoa, Arthropoda, Malacostraca, Decapoda, Penaeidae. The record is from RefSeq and is a predicted model, not a curated record. The transcript has 3 exons.